CUCUUACUACUCGUCUCCACCACCACCCCAUUCUCACAUUUCCUUCAAUUUCUGCCCGGUUAUAAAAAAAUCGCAACCAAACUAAAAAAAAUGGCGAUCAAAAAAUCAAACAAGCUUUCCCAAGCAGCGGUGUUGAACCAAAUCAUGAAGAGGUGUUCUUACUUGGACAAAUCGACAUUUGUUUAUGGGUUUUAUGUGAGUUUUCUUCAAGUAAUGAGAAUUAAUCGUUUUUGAUCAUUUUUUUAGUUUGGACUAAAGAAGAAGACCACCGUCUCAUCAAUUACAUACGCUCCCAUGGCGAGGGCUGCUGGCGUUCCCUCCCCAAAGCAGCAGGAUUGCUUAGAUGCGGCAAGAGCUGCAGAUUGAGGUAGAUUAAUUACUUGGGACCUGACCUAAAAAGAGGCAAUUUCACUGAUGAAGAAGAUGACAUCAUCAUCAAACUCCAUAGCUUGGUUGGAAAUAACUGGAAGAUUGCCUGGAAGAACAGACAAUGAGAUCAAGAAUUACUGAAAACACAUAUUAAACUCAAUUGAUAACACCAAAUGCAGCAGCAGCACAACGGAAGAGUCCCAGCCACCGGCGCCCCUGCCUCCGCCGAAUUAAUCAUUUUUUUAGUUUGGUUGCGAUUUUUUUAAAAUCGGGCAAAAAUUGAAGGACUGUGAUGAAGGGGCAGAAAUUGAAGGAAAUGUGAGAAUGGGGUGGUGAUGGAGACGAGUAGAGAGAGAAACAGAGAGGGGGGAGAAGAGGAUAUAUGAGCACGUGUUUAAUAUUCCGGCUAAAAUCGCCUGAAAAUUCCACUUUAGAGGCACCGUGCAAUAAAAUAACGAGUUCAGGUAAAAACGUGCAACUUUUU
Erythranthe guttata (spotted monkey flower) is the source of this 853-nucleotide non-coding RNA. Lineage: Eukaryota; Viridiplantae; Streptophyta; Magnoliopsida; Lamiales; Phrymaceae. The record is from RefSeq and is a predicted model, not a curated record.